UAACACAUGCAAGUCGAGGGGCAGCACAGGUAGCUAUACCGGGUGGCGACCGGCGCACGGGUGAGUAACGCGUAUGCAACUUACCUAUCAGAGGGGGAUAACCCGGCGAAAGUCGGACUAAUACCGCAUGAAGCAGGGGCCCCGCAUGGGGAUAUUUGCUAAAGAUUCAUCGCUGAUAGAUAGGCAUGCGUUCCAUUAGGCAGUUGGCGGGGUAACGGCCCACCAAACCGACGAUGGAUAGGGGUUCUGAGAGGAAGGUCCCCCACAUUGGUACUGAGACACGGACCAAACUCCUACGGGAGGCAGCAGUGAGGAAUAUUGGUCAAUGGCCGAGAGGCUGAACCAGCCAAGUCGCGUGAGGGAUGAAGGUUCUAUGGAUCGUAAACCUCUUUUAUAAGGGAAUAAAGUGCGGGACGUGUCCCGUUUUGUAUGUACCUUAUGAAUAAGGAUCGGCUAACUCCGUGCCAGCAGCCGCGGUAAUACGGAGGAUCCGAGCGUUAUCCGGAUUUAUUGGGUUUAAAGGGUGCGUAGGCGGCCUUUUAAGUCAGCGGUGAAAGUCUGUGGCUCAACCAUAGAAUUGCCGUUGAAACUGGGGGGCUUGAGUAUGUUUGAGGCAGGCGGAAUGCGUGGUGUAGCGGUGAAAUGCAUAGAUAUCACGCAGAACCCCGAUUGCGAAGGCAGCCUGCCAAGCCAUUACUGACGCUGAUGCACGAAAGCGUGGGGAUCAAACAGGAUUAGAUACCCUGGUAGUCCACGCAGUAAACGAUGAUCACUAGCUGUUUGCGAUACACUGUAAGCGGCACAGCGAAAGCGUUAAGUGAUCCACCUGGGGAGUACGCCGGCAACGGUGAAACUCAAAGGAAUUGACGGGGGCCCGCACAAGCGGAGGAACAUGUGGUUUAAUUCGAUGAUACGCGAGGAACCUUACCCGGGUUUGAACGCAUUCGGACCGAGGUGGAAACACCUUUUCUAGCAAUAGCCGUUUGCGAGGUGCUGCAUGGUUGUCGUCAGCUCGUGCCGUGAGGUGUCGGCUUAAGUGCCAUAACGAGCGCAACCCUUGCCACUAGUUACUAACAGGUAAAGCUGAGGACUCUGGUGGGACUGCCAGCGUAAGCUGCGAGGAAGGCGGGGAUGACGUCAAAUCAGCACGCCCCUUACAUCCGGGGCGACACACGUGUUACAAUGGCGUGGACAAAGGGAAGCCACCUGGCGACAGGGAGCGAAUCCCCAAACCACGUCUCAGUUCGGAUCGGAGUCUGCAACCCGACUCCGUGAAGCUGGAUUCGCUAGUAAUCGCGCAUCAGCCAUGGCGCGGUGAAUACGUUCCCGGGCCUUGUACACACCGCCCGUCAAGCCAUGGGAGCCGGGGGUACCUGAAGUCCGUAACCGCGAGGAUCGGCCUAGGGUAAAACUGGUGACUGGGGCUAAGUCAUAACA
This 1437-nucleotide ribosomal RNA is filed under the name uncultured organism. Its description in RNAcentral is "SSU rRNA". It matches the Rfam family "Bacterial small subunit ribosomal RNA". The record is from RNAcentral.